CGUUAUAUGUCAAUAAAUUUUCGGAAGGCAAUAGUAUCAGCAGGACAAGCAGGAGUGUAAUCAGUCAGGUGAUCGAGGUUCUGCCAUAAUGUAGUUAGAGCAGAAUAGUACUGUAGAGACGUCAUCUCAGCCUGAUCCAAACGGUCUACACUCCGUUGCAGAUCAUACACCUGUGCUAUAUUACCUUGCUUGGAAUAAGUCUAAAAAACAGUAUCCCAAAUAUCCUUGACUGUAUGAAGAGACAAGAAACCUUCACCAAUCUCUGGAAUCAUGGAGUGAAUCAACCAACUCAUAACCAAGAAGUUGUCCUGAUCCCACUUAUCAAAUCUGAG
Molecule: long non-coding RNA, 332 nt
Filed under: Actinidia chinensis (golden kiwifruit)
Lineage: Eukaryota; Viridiplantae; Streptophyta; Magnoliopsida; Ericales; Actinidiaceae
Description: long non-coding RNA (ACHI_LNC001437)
Source: RNAcentral